GGGCGGACUGGCCGAGGGUGAGGGCGUUGCUGCUGAUCAGGGCGAGGGCGUCGUUGUUGUCGAGCGGCUGCGGUUCGGGGGCGGCGCCCGCCCCC
RNAcentral lists this transfer RNA (95 nucleotides) under Streptomyces rubiginosohelvolus. RNAcentral describes it as "tRNA-Ile". The record is from RNAcentral. Lineage: Bacteria; Bacillati; Actinomycetota; Actinomycetes; Kitasatosporales; Streptomycetaceae. RNAcentral also lists the same sequence under 1 other name.